This 117-nucleotide unclassified non-coding RNA is filed under the name Trypanosoma theileri. RNAcentral describes it as "partial trans-spliced leader sequence SL". Lineage: Eukaryota; Euglenozoa; Kinetoplastea; Trypanosomatida; Trypanosomatidae. The record is from RNAcentral.
AUUGGUAUGAGAAGCUUCCAGGAACUUCCUGUGCAGGGCAAAAGCUCUUAGCACUGGUUCUUCUGGUAAAUUUUGGGAGGAGGGUCUUCGGACCCUCUUUUUUUUUUUAUUUUUUUU